Long non-coding RNA from Centruroides sculpturatus (bark scorpion), 1445 nucleotides. RefSeq lists it as uncharacterized. The record is from RefSeq and is a predicted model, not a curated record. NCBI's taxonomy places the organism in Eukaryota, Metazoa, Arthropoda, Arachnida, Scorpiones, Buthidae. The transcript has 3 exons.
GGUUGCCAUAGCAACGGGUUUCGAAAGAAUUGCUAGGAAUAAAAACUAAUUUUUAAAGCCUCACAUCCAACGACGGCGGUGCUCAGGUGCUUGAUAUAGCACAUCACGUACCUUCACAACAAUCGAUCAGCAAAGCAGUCUGGCCGUAGAACCUUACGUUAUCCAAUUUUCCAAUCGCUAAAUCAGAUCUUCGCUACAAUCUCUUGACUGAACCGACUUCAGAAAAGAAGGAAGAAAAGGGAAAAAAUUAAGAUUAAAUACAAUGAAAUUCUAUAUACGUUAGGAAUAUUCUCGACUAAAAUUCUGUGCCAAGAAUUUUAAAUAAAUGCGAUGAAGCUGGGAAAAAAUGGGAACAUUUCGUUCAGUGAAAUUCCUUACGUUCUAUGGAUGACUAUCUGCAAUGCUAAUCAUACUCUGUGUCUGCCAAAAUCACGCCAAGAAUGAGCAGAUGUCAAGAAGGAGAUAGACAGACCAGCACAGCUUGGCACCUCCCUGCUUAUUCUUUAUAAAACUUCCUCCUAUCAGCAGUUGCUCAUAUCCAGAUUCUUUCGAAAAAAUAAAUAAACUUAUGGUUUAUUUAAAUAUAAAUGGAUGUUUUCUUUAAGUAUUGGCACAUAAAUUUUGAAUAUUUAAAAUAAUCUAUAAUACUUGGCGAUAUUUUCCAAAAAUACUCGGAACCGAACGUGAUUAAGUUGUAAAAAGGACUCUUUUAUAGUUUUAUUAGCAUUUCUCCAUCCUUUAAAUGUAAAAUAGAUCAUUAUAGUGAGGUUGGCAUGUUCUCAUAUCGAUAACGAUUUUUAGUUUUGGUAGUGGUCAUGGAUUGACCCUCUCUUAUGACAGAAAUAAUGUGGUAGACCGCUAACCAUGGCAUCCACGGCAUUUGGGAUAAAGUGAACUUUAAUAAAAUACCGAAGCUUAUAGUCAGAAUCCACAUGCUUUAGGAUAGAAAAGUGGAGAAAAAUUUUGAAAGUAAUUGAAGUUUUAGUGCAGUGACCCACUCGGUCUGAUAAAAUUUCUGUUGAAACCAACUUGCCAAAGAUUUAAUUAAAACUGGACAAUGUUGGGGCGGGAUCUCUUUGAUGUAUGGACCGAGGGCGGGAAUAUGGGUGCUGACUGUCCAAGUUGGAAUGUCCAAACCCAAUAUACAGUUCACAUAUAACAAAGCAUACGAAGCGGAAUGAAUAGUUUUCCUUUACAAAGAAGGCAUUCUCACUUUAUAUAUAUAUUUGUGCGAGUGUCGGACAAAAAAUAAAGUAAUUUAUCCUCUUGUACCCUUUAGCUCAUACCUGAAAUUGCUGGAAGGAAAUUUAAUUUAUAAUUUCUUUACUUUAGAAUGAAUGCACAAAAUAGAAAUUUGCGAGAGCUUCUUCUCCUUUUAUCAUUUCACAACGAAAAUAAAGCACAAGUCAAGGUUAACACAAGCCAAGUUAUUUUAUUAUUAAACG